UAAAACCAAACAAGGCAAGGGUUAAGUUUAUGAAUAGUUAACGCUGUACAGAAUGCUCGACCAUCUUUGUCGUUAGAAACAAGUAAAUAUUUGAUUUUUGUUGUUGAAGGAAACCGCCCAAGGAGAAGAACCACAUAAGUCUGUUUUCGACAGGAGUAUUUUGUGCUCUGUGCCAUCAGAAGAUAUCGCAAUAACGUUGUUUGUUUCGACCCCGGCGACGAUAGCAUUUCCGUGUUUAUCUACUGUAAUUCCUCUUGGUUUUUAAAGAUCCGCGUCUGUAAAUGUUCACAGUACUUCCCCGUUUCUUUUAUGACACACAAUCGUAUUCGUAUCUUUCUUUACAGAAUAAAGAGUGUUGUUUAAUUCGGUAAUACUUCUUGACACCACCGUACUGCUAAUAUCAUUUGUCUUGUUAUCCUCUAACCGGACUUCUUUCAUUUGUCCGUUCUCGAGGCAGACUAUACAGGUGCCUUCAGUGUAAGUUAAGCAAAGAGCAGGGUCAGACGUACUGAUAGUCUUGAUUGUUUUCCCAGAUUUCAGGCUGAUUAGUUCAAUAUUUUUCUGUGUUUAUGAUAUUACGGCAACAGUGUCAUUGUCAACACAUUUAACAUCAAUGAUUGUUUGCAUGAUGCUGAUAAUUUU
Molecule: long non-coding RNA, 642 nt
Filed under: Mytilus galloprovincialis (Mediterranean mussel)
Lineage: Eukaryota; Metazoa; Mollusca; Bivalvia; Mytilida; Mytilidae
Source: RNAcentral